Molecule: long non-coding RNA, 695 nt
Filed under: Homo sapiens (human)
Lineage: Eukaryota; Metazoa; Chordata; Mammalia; Primates; Hominidae
Description: HSALNT0373509
Source: RNAcentral
GGCAUGCAGAAGACCUGAUGACACAAACCCUCCAAAGAGUUUCACCCUCACCACAACAGGUGGCUUCCUGCUCGGCAGCCCAUCCUGCAUCACUUCAGUGGACUUCUCUGACAUCUACUAGACCACAUUAAAUGAAUCACAGCCUUGAAACUGAACUGGAAGGACUUCCUUCAAGAUUUUUAUCUAAUUCCUGUUGGACAGUGUAAAAUGCCACUUCUUCCAGGGUUGCCUGCAUAUCAUCAAAAGGGAAAUAGUACUCAUCGAAGAUGUGCCUUUGCUAGGAACUAGGACAAGGGUGGCCUUUAUAAAUUCAUGAAGAGAAGGAGCCAGCAUAUGAACUUGCUGCCUAUCUUUAGCAAGGAGAUGCAAAUGACAUCCACAAACCUCUUCUGCUGUAUACCUGGAUGAAAGCAAGGCUAGCUGUGUGUCCUAUGGCACCAAGGACUGAAAGAUUGUAAGAAGUAAGAGUGAAUAUUCAGCUUAAACAAAAAAUAGCCUUUCUACCCAGAGACAGCGUGUACCAAAGAAAAUGGCGUCCGCGUGCAGGCCGUCUGCGCGCAGCAGUGGGAAGAGGCGGGCUCCCUGAGGAGACAACAUCCCUGACAGACCUCCCAACAAAGCCCUGCAUAUUUUUCAGUAAAUCAUGUAUAUUUGGUCACUGUUUUCUUUCUGACUCUCAAGACAUCACCGUUCCU